Molecule: ribosomal RNA, 449 nt
Filed under: uncultured bacterium
Lineage: Bacteria
Description: partial 16S ribosomal RNA
Rfam family: Bacterial small subunit ribosomal RNA
Source: RNAcentral
AACGAACGCUGGCGGCAUGCCUAACACAUGCAAGUCGAACGAGAUCUUCGGGUUUAGUGGCGCACGGGUGCGUAACGCGUGGGAAUCUGCCCUUUGGUUCGGAAUAACAGUUGGAAACGACUGCUACUACCGGAUGAUGACGAAAGUCCAAAGAUUUAUCGCCAGAGGAUGAGCCCGCGUAGGAUUAGCUAGUUGGUGUGGUAAAGGCGCACCAAGGCGACGAUCCUUAGCUGGUCUGAGAGGAUGAUCAGCCACACUGGGACUGAGACACGGCCCAGACUCCUACGGGAGGCAGCAGUGGGGAAUAUUGGACAAUGGGCGAAAGCCUGAUCCAGCAAUGCCGCGUGAGUGAUGAAGGCCUUAGGGUUGUAAAGCUCUUUUACCCGGGAUGAUAAUGACAGUACCGGGAGAAUAAGCUCCGGCUAACUCCGUGCCAGCAGCCGCCGUAA